AUGGAGGAAGCAAUGGUGUCUUUGACCAACGCAACAAGGAGAUUGUUGGAUAAACAACAGACAGGAACCACUGUCAUGAACCUCGAAAUGAAGCUAUACUUGAUCAACAACUUCUCAAAUGAUAUCGGCCCGCUGCUGUGCGAUGCUAUCGACGCCGGUUUUUUGAAAGAUUUGGAUCUUGCCAUUCUCGACGAGACUGAUGCCCCAGACUGUUGUGAUUUGGCUAUGCUAAGGCUUGCCAAACGCAUGGAUGGAUUUUUCACCGCAUACCCUAUCGUGCUCCAUCGCCUCACAAGACUCUCUCUAUGUAAUGUGUGUUUUGCCCGGUUGUACAUGCACCAUAUCCUGUUUGACUGCUGCAAGCAACUCAAGCAUCUAACUUUGUCUACUCAAGCAUCUAACUUUGUCUCACUCUGA
This 417-nucleotide ribosomal RNA is filed under the name Triticum aestivum (bread wheat). RNAcentral's name for it is "partial small subunit ribosomal RNA". The record is from RNAcentral. Lineage: Eukaryota; Viridiplantae; Streptophyta; Magnoliopsida; Poales; Poaceae.